Molecule: unclassified non-coding RNA, 334 nt
Filed under: soil metagenome
Description: partial contains 5.8S ribosomal RNA, internal transcribed spacer 2, and large subunit ribosomal RNA
Rfam family: 5.8S ribosomal RNA (bases 1-120)
Source: RNAcentral
GAUGAAGAACGUAGCGAAAUGCGAUAUGUAAUGUGAAUUGCAGAAUUCAGUGAAUCAUCGAAUCUUUGAACGCACAUUGCGCCCGCCAGUAUUCUGGCGGGCAUGCCUGUUCGAGCGUCAUUUCAACCAUCAAGCCCCCGGCUUGUGUUGGGGACCUGCGGCUGCCGCAGGCCCUGAAAUGCAGUGGCGGGCUCGCUGUCACUCCGAGCGUAGUAGUUACAUCUCGCUCUGGGCGUGCUGCGGGUUCCGGCCGUUAAAAGCCUUAUUUACCCAAGGUUGACCUCGGAUCAGGUAGGAAGACCCGCUGAACUUAAGCAUAUCAAUAAGCGGAGGA